AUCGACGGCGGUGUUUGGCACCUCGAUGUCGGCUCAUCACAUCCUGGGGCUGUAGCCGGUCCCAAGGGUAUGGCUGUUCGCCAUUUAAAGUGGUACGCGAGCUGGGUUCAGAACGUCGUGAGACAGUUCGGUCCCUAUCUGCCAUGGGCGUUGGAGAUUUGAGAGGGGCUGCUCCUAGUACGAGAGGACCGGAGUGGACGUUCCGCUGGUGUUCGGGUUGUCAUGCCCAUGGCAUUGCCCGGUAGCUACGAACGGAAGUGAUAACCGCUGAAAGCAUCUAAGCGGGAAGCACGCCCCAAGAUGAGAUCUCCCGAGAGCUUGACUCUCCUUAAGGCACCAUCAAGACUAGGUGGUUGAUAGGCACGGUGUGGAAGUGCAGCAAUGCAUUGAGCUUACGUGUACUAAUGAGCCGUGAGGCUUGACCAU
RNAcentral lists this ribosomal RNA (426 nucleotides) under Luteibacter sp. Its description in RNAcentral is "partial 23S ribosomal RNA". It matches the Rfam family "Bacterial large subunit ribosomal RNA", at positions 2504 to 2925 of the family's 2925-position model. Lineage: Bacteria; Pseudomonadati; Pseudomonadota; Gammaproteobacteria; Lysobacterales; Rhodanobacteraceae. The record is from RNAcentral.